UUCGUCCUAAAAAAAGUCAGCAGCCUAUUCUGUUCGUCUUCCCCCCACGCCGCCAACGUCCGUCCUCCUCCCGACGAAUCUGCCGCCGAAGACUUAAUGCUCAUGAAAGAUAUGUGAUAAAUCCGAGCAGUCAAUGACCGAAAACUUCUCAAUGGAGCUCAUCCGCAUCCACACCAGUCGCUCUCCAUCCUAAUUCCUGGUUUUUUUACAGUCCUCGAUCCCUCGGUACAUCUUCCCAAUCCGGCAGGUACUUUCUGCGGAUUUCUUGGCUUGACAGGUCCUCCAAAUAAGAUGCUGGAGAUUUCUUUGGGUUCAUUCACUUCUCUGUCUGCUGGCCAUAAUCGCCUGAACUUUCUGCGGACAGAUUCUUACUUGAGUGCAUCUUAUUUGUUUUUCAGCCUCCAGGUAUAGAACAGGCCAGGUUGUUCAUGCAGCAAUAGGCUCGUCAGCGUGGCUGAUUUUCUGCUGUAGAUGCACUGGAUGAGGUAAGCACGGACUGUCCUUUCUCUUAAGUAUCUUUCCUUUCACUUCUCAUAUUUUACAUAUCUUGGAUUGCAUAAUAUAUCCUUUUCUUUCUCUGAAUACAUAGUAAAUUCUCUGUACAAUCUUCUCCUAGAUUGUUGUUCCCCAAAUUUCAUUGCAGGUUUGCCUAACGUCUUCAACAAUUGCCUUGCCUACUCCCGAUCCAUCAAGCGUUGUUGGUGUACUAAUAAAAGAGUAAUCCCAAUGAAAAUCAUCUGUUAUAUGUUCACCUGUAUUUUCAGUUCUGAGCAUUUGAUGUGCCAUAUAGUUUGGUUUCUUUCAUUACGUUUGAAAGCUCACAUGGACCUUUGGCAGAAUGGCAGAUAUAGUGUAAAUCUCCCCGACUGAUACAAUCGAUUGGUAUGUCAAGACACAUCUGUAUGCUUCCCUCUAUAUAAUGAAUGGUCGUUGCUCUUCUGUCUUUGCAAGACAACUUUUUAUAUUUAUAUUUAGUACUCCCUGCCCACAAAGUUAGCUUUAAAGGGCUCUUAUUUUCAAAAUAACUUCAUCAGGAUUUGGCAGCGGAAGUAUGUGCCAGUGAAGUGUUGUUAUCCUCUAUCAAGCAAAGAACAACACAAGAGCUGAGCUAUCAUACGGUGCACUCAUAAAAUAUUCAGGUUUCAGAGUCUCACAGGAGACCGUGAUGAACCGAGUUCUUUUCCUAAAGGGACAAAUUGCUUGCUAGCUUGAUGCAGAUUCUUUCUUUUAUUUUUUCCAUUGGUGCAGGUGGCGGUCAUAAGUGCAAAGGGAAAUAACUGACGUGUCCAGUAACAUGUCGUGGCAUUUUGCAUGUCUGUUAUUAUGCGGAUUUGGUUAGUAUUUGACAUCAGCCCUCAAGCUAUCUCGACCAUUAUAUUAGUCUAAAAGGGGGUUUCUCCGUACCCAUGUUCCAGCUUAGCUCUGUCCAGUUACUUGCUAUGAUUGUCAUUUUAAUGUUUACCUAUUCCGUUCGGCUUGAUCUGCCUACUAUGAGGAUUUAUGUAUGAUUGAUGUGAAUGUUCACUU
Molecule: long non-coding RNA, 1527 nt
Organism: Lolium rigidum
Lineage: Eukaryota; Viridiplantae; Streptophyta; Magnoliopsida; Poales; Poaceae
Exons: 3
Source: RefSeq, a predicted model, not a curated record